This 406-nucleotide ribosomal RNA is filed under the name uncultured bacterium. RNAcentral describes it as "partial 16S ribosomal RNA". It matches the Rfam family "Bacterial small subunit ribosomal RNA", at positions 30 to 526 of the family's 1533-position model. The record is from RNAcentral.
AUUGAACGCUGGCGGCAGGCUUAACACAUGCAAGUCGAGCGAGCGGCGGACGGGUGAGUAAUGUCUGGGAAACUGCCUGAUGGAGGGGGAUAACUACUGGAAACGGUAGCUAAUACCGCAUACCAUCAGAUGUGCCCAGAUGGGAUUAGCUAGUAGGUGGGGUAAUGGCUCACCUAGGCGACGAUCCCUAGCUGGUCUGAGUGGAUGACCAGCCACACUGGAACUGCCACACGGUCAAGCCUCCGAGGGGAGGCAGCGGUUGGGACUAUUGCACAAUGGGCGCAAGCCUGAUGAAGCCAUGCCGCGUGUGUGAAGAAGGCCUCCGGGUUGUAAAGCACGUUCAGCGAGGAGGCGUUACUCGCAGAAGAAGCACCGGCUCACUCCGUGCCAGCAGACGUGGUAAUAC